GCCUUACUCCAUGGUCUCCGUGUGGCUAAGGAGAUGAACUUAAGCCGAGUACGAUGGUUCGGAGGCUCUGAUCUGGUGGCUCGGCAAGUUUCUGGUACUUGGGACUCUAAGGGUACACUCAUGGCGACUUACAGACGAGAGGUGGAUAUUGUGGCAGGUCACUGCAAGGGUUAUCAGGUUGAGCACAUUGAUCGGUGCAAAAAUGAAGCAGCAAAUGCUUUAAGCCGGCUGGGGUCUCAACGUAAACCGGUACCACCCAAUACCUUUCUGGAUAUCCUGCAUAACCCAUCUGUUAAAUUGCCUAUAGAGGAGGGUUUAUCAAUUCCUGACCCGGAGGCACAGUUGGUGGCCUCUUUGCAUAUAAUUCCAGAUUGGACGGUUCCAUAUUUGGCGUAUAUGAACCGGGGC
This 408-nucleotide ribosomal RNA is filed under the name Triticum aestivum (bread wheat). RNAcentral describes it as "partial small subunit ribosomal RNA". The record is from RNAcentral. Lineage: Eukaryota; Viridiplantae; Streptophyta; Magnoliopsida; Poales; Poaceae.